RNAcentral lists this transfer RNA (69 nucleotides) under bovine gut metagenome. It matches the Rfam family "tRNA". Rfam says of the family: Transfer RNA (tRNA) molecules are approximately 80 nucleotides in length. Their secondary structure includes four short double-helical elements and three loops (D, anti-codon, and T loops). The record is from RNAcentral.
UGGAAUAGCUCAAUUGGUAGAGCAUCUGAAUCGUAAUCAGGAGGUUGCGGGUUCAAUUCCUGCUUCCAG